UCGGCUCAGAUUGAACGCUGGCGGCAUGCCUUACACAUGCAAGUCGAACGGCAGCACGGGAGCAAUCCUGGUGGCGAGUGGCGAACGGGUGAGUAACACAUCGGAACGUGCCCAAUCGUCGGGGGAUAACGUAGCGAAAGCUACGCUAAUACCGCAUACGAUCUACGGAUGAAAGCGGGGGAUCGCAAGACCUCGCGCGAAUGGAGCGGCCGAUGGCAGAUUAGGUAGUUGGUCGGGGUAAAGGCUCACCAAGCCGACGAUCUGUAGCUGGUCUGAGAGGACGACCAGCCACACUGGGACUGAGACACGGCCCAGACUCCUACGGGAGGCAGCAGUGGGGAAUUUUGGACAAUGGGCGCAAGCCUGAUCCAGCAAUGCCGCGUGCAGGAUGAAGGCCUUCGGGUUGUAAACUGCUUUUGUACGGAACGAAACGGCGAGCUCUAAUACAGUUUGCUAAUGACGGUACCGUAAGAAUAAGCACCGGCUAACUACGUG
Molecule: ribosomal RNA, 495 nt
Filed under: uncultured Comamonadaceae bacterium
Lineage: Bacteria; Pseudomonadati; Pseudomonadota; Betaproteobacteria; Burkholderiales; Comamonadaceae
Description: bacterial SSU rRNA
Rfam family: Bacterial small subunit ribosomal RNA
Source: RNAcentral